AUCCAGUUGACGAGUCCCAAAUAGGACGAAACGAGCACCCUGGAC
Molecule: non-coding RNA, 45 nt
Filed under: Schistosoma mattheei
Lineage: Eukaryota; Metazoa; Platyhelminthes; Trematoda; Strigeidida; Schistosomatidae
Source: RNAcentral